RNAcentral lists this ribosomal RNA (546 nucleotides) under uncultured bacterium. RNAcentral's name for it is "bacterial SSU rRNA". It matches the Rfam family "Bacterial small subunit ribosomal RNA", at positions 772 to 1335 of the family's 1533-position model. The record is from RNAcentral.
ACCCAAUAGAUACCCGGGUAGUCCACGCCCUAAACGAUGUAUGCUUGGUGUUGGCUCGUAUGAGUCAGUGCCGUAGGUAAACCUGAUAAGCAUACCACCUGGGGAGUACGCUCGCAAGGGUGAAACUCAAAGGAAUUGACGGGGGCCCGCACAAGCGGUGGAGCAUGUGGUUUAAUUCGAGGCUACGCGAAGAACCUUACCCAGGUUUGACAUCCUGCUAAUCUUUCCGAAAGGAGAGAGUGCCUUCGGGCCGCAGUGACAGGUGCUGCAUGGCCGUCGAAAAGCUCGUGUCGUGAGAUGUUUGGUUUAGUCCAUCAACGAGCGCAACCCCUGUAGUUAGUUGGAUUUUUCUAGCUAGACUGCCUCGGUAACGGGGAGGAAGGAGGGGAAGACGUCAGGUCAGUAUUGCCCUUACACCUGGGGCUACAAACACGCUACGAUGGCCGGUACAAAGGGCUGCCAACCCGCAAGGGGGAGCAAAUCCCAUCAAAGCCGGUCUCAGUUCGGAUUGCAGGCUGAAACUCGCCUGCAUGAAGCUGGAAUCGC